CCAAAGACGUAAAGAGGAUGGAAGAACUGGGAAGGGAAAUGGUUGAACAUUGUGCCGGUCUUCCGCUAGCUAUAGUCGUUUUGGGUGGAAUUCUUGUAACAAAACCGUCGUUGAUAGAGUGGGAGAAGGUAUAUCGUGAUAGUAAAUCAUCCCUCAAGGCGGGGAGAGGAUUGGAAGAAGCCUAUCAAAGGGAAAUAUUAAGUUUUUUAGUUUGGAGCUACAAUGAUUUACCCCCUCAGUUGAAGCCAUGCUUUUUAUAUUUAUCUAAGUUUGGUGAUAAUAAAUAUAUAGAAGUGGGGACUUUGUAUCAGCUGUGGAUCGCCGAAGGAAUGAUACUCUCGAGUGACAAAAGGGAAGGAGAAACAAUGAUUCAAGUGGCUGAAUCAUACAUGGGAGAACUAGUCCACAGGAGUAUGGUUCAAGUGAGAUUUAACAAUGUGAAAUCAUCACCUACAAAGUUUGAAGAUUGUUCUCUGCAUGACCUUAUGCGAGAUAUGUCUUUAAUACAAGCAAAAGCAGAAGAUUUUUUUGAAGAUAUACAUUCCAAAGUGCAAAUGAGUUUCAUCUCAAAUCUACUGCAGAUUCAAGAAACACAACUCGACUUGUGAUUAAUUUGGAUGAGGAAUAUUCUAGGAAAAAAGUUAAUUACUACUUCUCCAAGAAACGCGAUAAAAAAUGCUAUCGAUCAAUUUUACUCCUCGGUCAGUUUGGAGCGAGAAGUUUGCCACGGUCGCUCGGGUCACAUGUUGCCAAUUUUAGGUUCCUAAAAGUGUUUUCAGUGGAGAAAUAUACCAAUUUUUCUGGUGCAUUUUCCCAUAUUAAUUUUGGAAGAGCAUUAGGGGCCCUUGUUUACUUGCGAUAUCUUAGUGUAAGGGGCACUAAUUUGUUGGUUUUUCCUUCUAUACAAAAGUUGGUACUGUUACAAACUCUUAGAUUGCAUACAUGCGAUGAUAUGUAUGCUUUACCAUGGUUGUCAAGAGAUGUUCUGGUGAAGCUCGAUUGUUUGCGGCACCUGUAUUUGCCUAAAUUUAAAGUUGACGUUUUGGUAAGGAAAUCGAAAUUACGGUUUAAUGGGUUGAGCAAGUUAGAGACCCUGGAGAACUUUGACACUACUUGGUGUGAGGUUAAGGAUCUACGUGAACUAAUCAAUCUUCGGAAACUAAUGGUAACAGUGAGAGGUAGCUGUGAUAUUCUGGAAGAAAUGAUGAAAAACUUGGAUGAUAUAGCCUCCUCACCAUCUUCAUGUCUGAGCUACUUGGGUGUUGCUAUUAGUAAUUGUCAUCUCGAGCUGAACAAUGGUCUUACUAUCUUAAAACAAUUGGUAUAUGCUGAAAAUUUGAACCUUCGGGAUUUGAAAAUAUAUGGGCGUAUCCCAGAGGUGGGUCUAAUAUUUCCGCUUCAAUAUGUAUCUACAAUUGGUAUUACAAGUUUAACUUUAGCGAGUUCAUGCCUAGAAGAAGACCCGAUGCCAAUACUGGAAAUGCUUCCAAUGUUGGGUGUUCUCUGUUUGUUUAAGGAUACAUAUGUGGGGAAGGAGAUGGUGUGCUCCGCAACCUGUUUUCCUAAACUCACCUCUCUUUAUUUGCAAGAGUUCCCAAACCUUGAAAAAUGGAGGGUGGAGAAAGGAAGCAUGCCCAUGCUUUCAUACUUGCGUAUUGAAAGAUGUAACAAGUUGGAGGAGCUUCCCGAAGGCCUAGUGUUCCUCAAGUCCCUUCAAGUACUAGAUAUAUUUCAUAUGCUUCAAGAUUUUAAUGAUAGGCUUAAAAGGCAUGAUGGUGAAGAGGGACCCGACUUUCACAAAAUUUCUCAUGUCGAUAGACUCAUUAUUGACGAUCAGGAGUUAAAUUGAAUGUUCUUGCAAGCUUAUUAUUCCACAAAAUUAUUAGUUCACUUAUAAGGCUAUAAGCCAUAUUUGUCAAAAAAAACAAAAAAAAACUACUCCUUUAGAAAACGGCUCAGCGUUCUCAGGUUCAUAUUCACACCAUAUUCUCUUGUGAACUAGGGGCACAAUUUUCAUCAUUUUCUUUGUCUUACAAGCAUGCAAUCUAGUCAUUUGAAAUUGAUCACUUUAAAGACCAUCCUUGUGUCUCGUUCAUUUUCCUUGAGGUGAACAAGAGUUGAACAUAUUCGGAAGCAAUAAAUAUAACAGUCUUAUAACAGAAUAUCGAUUUAUGAUAAUGUUAGACUGCAGAAAAUGAGAGGAAGUAAUUUUUCACUGACCAAUAUGUAAUAUGUUUUCAUGCUAUUGCGGCCAACACAACAGAGUACAUUGUUUCCCACAUGUUGCAACAAAACACCAAAACUAGGAGACUUCUAACUCUUGACUCCACCCAUUGUUCAAACUUUUUCUUUGUGAUCUUUUUUUAUAAUGAAACACUUUUGUAUUUUUUUCCUUUAUAGUUAAAACUACGAUAUAUACAGCGUUUAGGACUGGGAAACUGCUUUCUUCAAGACGCUGAAGGCAACGAGCAUAAGCAGUGAUAUCAUGAUCUUCUUUGAAGCAAGAAUCCGCAAGUUCACCUUCAUGCCAUGGUCUCUCAUGAGCUUCACUGUUGCCCUAAUUACUGAAAUAAGCCAGAAUACAACGGACAAGAACACCACUUUCAUUGUGUCUGCAGGUCCAUUCACACUUCUUGUGCCUCCCGACACCUCGACAUAGGACCAAGCAGCGCCUUGAUUAUCGGUAGUUCCACUAUGAUUGAGGCCAAGUUUCUCGUUCAACCAACAUGAUAAAGUCACAAGCAGCUUUGCAAGCCAUGCAAUCUCAUCACUGGAGACUGGUCGCUUCAACCAGUCACCCCUGUAUUUCGUACCGGUUUGCUUCUUGUUGCGUAUCAUUCUAGGACUAAAUAUCUCAUCACGUGGAUGCUGAUUUUCUCUUGUCUCGGGGACUGCUUGUGUGUUCCUUGGAGUAGAGUUACCAAAUAAGCACCCCAUCUGGGCUUUGAUAGAAUCUAAACAAGCCAUAUUGUGAGCAUGAUUAUCUCCCAAGACGGUCUGCAGCUCCGACUCAGCACGCAGCACAAAGAGCUGCAAUUACAAUGUGAGUAGUGAGUGAGACUUGAGAUUUAGAAUGAUGUCAAUAUGCUUAAGACCUGCACAAGAAAUACAAGAAACAUAUACAAAAUAAGUAAACGGAAACUAUAACGAAUUGAUCCUGGGAUAAAAAUAUAUACUAAUUAUAAAAGAAAAUUUCCCCACUGUUACCCUGACUCUUCAUUUUGCCUCAAGUACACGUGUCGGACACUCAACACUUGAACAUCGGACACUCAACACUUGAACAUAGGUACAGACACUACAGAACUUAUUUUAGGCCAAAAACAUGUAAAUUUUCAGAAUACUACCGAGACACACUCGGACAGGUAACCAUGUUGGACACUUUUAGCUGACUCCAGGUAAUAUAGAUUCUUCAUAUGUAAGCUUACCAGAAGUAUCCCAUCAGUGCCCAUAAAUGAAAAGAAGCCGAAAGAAACUAUAAAAGAGGAAUAUAGCAGAUUAUUAUUAAUUAGUAGCCUUGCAUCAGUUUCCUCUAUAAUUCAACACAAGUAGCUUACGCGGAUAAAGACAUUCUUACCAGAUGCUGACGCAAGGAUUGAUGUAGAAAGAAUCCGGAUUUUGCUCCGGGAUGUACGAGAGCUUGCCUAUGAUGCUGAACAUGUUGUCGAAACUUUUGUUAUUAAAGCCUCAUCCACUAAAAAACCAUUUCAGCGGAUGAACAGAGUCAAGUUUUCAAGAAAGAUGAAAAAUAUACAGAAAAAGAUGUCCCUCCUCUUCAAUUUAUUUUCUGAUUAUAAUAUCAUACCAACUUCUGAAUCAACUUUCUCAAACAGGGCAAGUUUUCAAGAAAGAUGAAAAAUAUACAGAAAAAGAUGUCCCUCCUCUUCAAUUUAUUUUCUGAUUAUAAUAUCAUACCAACUUCUGAAUCAACUUCCUCAAACAGAGAAUCGGGAAAACUUAAGCGAUUUCACUCUUUCACUACUCCUGAACCAGAGUUAUUUGUUGGAUUUCAUGAAGACGUUGAAUGCUUGGUGCGACAUUUGGUGGAUGAAACUCAUGAUUCUUACCCACUUAUAUCUAUUUGUGGAAUGGGGGGCCUGGGAAAGACUACUCUCGCUCAAAAGAUAUACAAUCACUCUGCCAUCAAGACUCACUUUGCUGGUUUAGCAUGGGUAUCAAUUUCGCGAAAGUGGCAGACAGAUCGUGUGUUGCAGAGAAUUCUCAUAUGUCUCGUACCUGAGAACAAAGAAUCUAUCCUUAAUAUGGACAGCAACAAGCUAGUGGAGUAUAUGCUACAUAUUAAGGAACGGAAAAAAUGCUUGAUAGUCCUCGAUGACAUAUGGUCAACUGAUGCUUGGGAUGCAUUAAAAGCUGCAUUCCCAGCCGGGAAGUCCAUAAGCAAAUUAAUGCUUACAAGCCGUAAUGUUGAGGUUGCUAAGCAUGUAAAUUUGAACGGAUUCAUUCACAAGCCAGAAUGUCUAAAUCCAGAACAAAGUUGGGAGCUACUCAAGUUGAAAGCACUUCACACAGGAAAUUGUCUAGGUACAUAAUUUUACUUGCGUUAAUUAUAGUUCAUAUACUUUUUCCGCACCCUAUCUUUGGUACGACAGCCUUAAUGAGCCAUAUUUUCUGUUACUUGAGUUGGAUAAGUUUGGUUAGAGAUCUGCCCAGACAACCUUAAAUAACAUUGUUCUGUUCAAGUAACAUUUUUUUCGUGUUUGUUUGAAUUCGUUAGUCGUUUACAAACGUAUGUAUUAGAAUUGUAAACGAAUGUAACAGUUCAUUAAGUGCCCUCUUGAGGUUGAGUUAACGAACUCGAAUUCAAACCACAUAUUUUGUUUGAGAACCUUAACAAACUUUAUGGGGUUCAGUAAUUUUUGCUGGUGUUGACUCGAAGUUUAUCGGAGUUAAGUUCAUUAACCAUUUCCCUUCCCAGUUCUUCCAUCCUUUUUACAUCUCUGGUAAUGUCUGCAAAACACAAGAUACGGGAAUCAUAUGUGUGUAUAUAUAGACACACAAACGCAAGCCAAGAUAAUUUCUAAUUUAGUCAUUUGACUGGUGCAAAUAUUUAAAAGACACGUUCAAGUUAUAGCCCUAAUUGAACAUUGUGCCGGUCUUCCGCUGGCUAUAGUCAUUCUGGGUGGAAUUCUUGUAACAAAACCGUCGUUAAUAGAGUGGGAGAAGGUAUAUCGUGACAGUAAAUCAUCCCUGAAGGCGGGGAAAGGACUUGGAGAAGCCUAUCAAAGGGAAAUAUUAAGUUUUUUAGUUUGGAGCUACAAUGAUUUACCCCCUCAGCUCAAGCCAUGCUUUUUAUAUUUAUCUAAGUUUGGUGAAGAUAAAUGGAUCAAAUUAGAGACUUUGUAUCAGCUAUGGAUCGCUGAAGGAAUGAUACUCUCGAAUGACAAAAGGAAAGGAGAAACAAUGAUACAAGUGGCUGAAUCAUACAUGGGAGAACUAUUGCAUAGGAGUAUGGUUCAAGUCAGAUUUAACAAUGUGGAAUCAUCACUUACAAAGUUUAAAGAUUGUUCUCUGCACGAC
RNAcentral lists this long non-coding RNA (5535 nucleotides) under Daucus carota (carrot). RNAcentral's name for it is "long non-coding RNA (DCAR_LNC000933)". Lineage: Eukaryota; Viridiplantae; Streptophyta; Magnoliopsida; Apiales; Apiaceae. The record is from RNAcentral.